RNAcentral lists this transfer RNA (48 nucleotides) under Lophopus crystallinus. Its description in RNAcentral is "tRNA-Tyr". Lineage: Eukaryota; Metazoa; Bryozoa; Phylactolaemata; Lophopodidae. The record is from RNAcentral.
UCAACGAGUCAACUAAGCUUUGUAAGAGCUUUAACUGUUUGCUGUUGG